RNAcentral lists this ribosomal RNA (496 nucleotides) under uncultured bacterium. Its description in RNAcentral is "partial 16S ribosomal RNA". It matches the Rfam family "Bacterial small subunit ribosomal RNA", at positions 29 to 507 of the family's 1533-position model. The record is from RNAcentral.
AUGAACGCUGGCGGCGUGCCUAAUACAUGCCAGUCGAGCGAACAGACGAGGAGCUUGCUCCUCCGACGUUAGCGGCGGACGGGUGAGUAACACGUGGAUAACCUACCUAUAAGACUGGGAUAACUUCGGGAAACCGGAGCUAAUACCGGAUAAUAUAUUGAACCGCAUGGUUCAAUAGUGAAAGACGGUUUUGCUGUCACUUAUAGAUGGAUCCGCGCCGCAUUAGCUAGUUGGUAAGGUAACGGCUUACCAAGGCAACGAUGCGUAGCCGACCUGAGAGGGUGAUCGGCCACACUGGAACUGAGACACGGUCCAGACUCCUACGGGAGGCAGCAGUAGGGAAUCUUCCGCAAUGGGCGAAAGCCUGACGGAGCAACGCCGCGUGAGUGAUGAAGGUCUUCGGAUCGUAAAACUCUGUUAUUAGGGAAGAACAAAUGUGUAAGUAACUAUGCACGUCUUGACGGUACCUAAUCAGAAAGCCACGGCUAACUACGUG